GGCAACACACUUGGCAGGCUGCUGCUGCACGGCCUGGUGGGCAACGCGCGGGAGUCUGAGCGCGUGCGCAUGGCGAGUGUGGCUGCCGGGAUCGAUCAGCACAUCAGCGAGACCAACGAUGCGCUGAAAGUGACUCCCGAGGACAUGACUAGGCUGUUUGACCACUCUGUCCUCCCACACCUCGGCUGCUCGGGGGGAGACUCUGCACCAACUGC
Molecule: long non-coding RNA, 215 nt
Filed under: Coccomyxa subellipsoidea
Lineage: Eukaryota; Viridiplantae; Chlorophyta; Trebouxiophyceae; Coccomyxaceae
Description: long non-coding RNA (CSUB_LNC000666)
Source: RNAcentral